RNAcentral lists this ribosomal RNA (292 nucleotides) under uncultured bacterium. RNAcentral describes it as "partial 16S ribosomal RNA". It matches the Rfam family "Bacterial small subunit ribosomal RNA", at positions 505 to 796 of the family's 1533-position model. The record is from RNAcentral.
GUGUCAGCAGCCGCGGUAAGACAGAGGUGCCAAGCGUUAGGCGGAAUCACUGGGCUUAAAGCGUGUGUAGGCGGACGCGUAAGUACCUUGUGAAAUCCCACGGCUCAACCGUGGAACUGCUGGGUAUACUGCGUGUCUUGAGCCACUUAGGGGUCGUCGGAACAAACGGUGGAGCGGUGAAAUGCGUAGAUAUCGUUUGGAACGCCAACGGUGAAAACAGACGACUGGGAGUGUGCUGACGCUGAGACACGAAAGCCAGGGGAGCGAACGGGAUUAGAUACCCGAGUAGUCC